RNAcentral lists this ribosomal RNA (299 nucleotides) under uncultured bacterium. RNAcentral's name for it is "partial 16S ribosomal RNA". It matches the Rfam family "Bacterial small subunit ribosomal RNA", at positions 335 to 627 of the family's 1533-position model. The record is from RNAcentral.
GCCCUACGGGGGGCAGCAGUAGGGAAUCUUCCACAAUGGACGAAAGUCUGAUGGAGCAACGCCGCGUGAGUGAAGAAGGGUUUCGGCUCGUAAAGCCCUGUUGGUAGUGAAGAAAGACAGAGGUAGUAACUGGCCUUUAUUUGACGGUAAUUACUUAGAAAGUCACGGCUAACUACGUGCCAGCAGCCGCGGUAAUACGUAGGUGGCAAGCGUUGUCCGGAUUUAUUGGGCGUAAAGCGAGUGCAGGCGGUUCAAUAAGUCUUAUGUGAAAGCCUUCGGCUCCAACCGAGGAUUGCAUC